Molecule: ribosomal RNA, 354 nt
Filed under: Physarum album
Lineage: Eukaryota; Evosea; Eumycetozoa; Physariida; Physaraceae
Description: SSU rRNA
Rfam family: Eukaryotic small subunit ribosomal RNA
Source: RNAcentral
AAGUCUUGGGAGAGGGGCCUUCACCGGCUCCGAUUCCUUGGCUGCUAUGGAUAAUCGCGGUAAUUCUGAGACUAAUACAAGAACGUAACACCUAGAUGACCGGGCAACUGGGAAUUUAGGGGUCGCGCGAGGCUGAAUACUGCUACAAAUAGGGAUGAGAACGCGUGCGAUCGUACCGCCAGCAAAUGAUCUUGGGUUCAGUCUUAGUACCGCAAGGGAAAAGCGUGCUCUCGUUCAGGCGGUGCCAGUAGUGCGCUUCUGACCUAUCAACUUUACUGCGACUCCAUGGACUGCAAUGGUUACAACGGGUACAGAGGAUAAGGGUUCGAUCCUGGAGAGUGGGCCUGAGAGAUU